UGGUCCAGACUUUGAUCCUGGCUCAGGAUGAACGCUAGCUACAGGCCUAACACAUGCAAGUCGAGGGGAAACGGCAGCUUAGCUUGCUAAGCUGGACGUCGACCGGCGCACGGGUGAGUAACGCGUAUCCAACCUGCCCCACGGUGAGGGAUAACCCGCGGAAACGCGGCCUAAUACCUCAUGGUCUCCGAGUUUGCCAUCAACCUUGGAGUAAAGAUUCAUUGCCGUGGGAUGGGGAUGCGUCUGAUUAGCUUGUUGGCGGGGCAACGGCCCACCAAGGCUACGAUCAGUAGGGGUUCUGAGAGGAAAGCCCCCCACAUUGGAACUGAGACACGGUCCAAACUCCUACGGGAGGCAGCAGUGAGGAAUAUUGGUCAAUGGGCGAGAGCCUGAACCAGCCAAGUAGCGUGCAGGAAGACGGCCCUAUGGGUUGUAAACUGCUUUUAUGCGGGGAUAAAGCGGGCGACGUGUCGCCCUUUGCAGGUACCGCAUGAAUAAGGACCGGCUAAUUCCGUGCCAGCAGCCGCGGUAAUACGGAAGGUCCGGGCGUUAUCCGGAUUUAUUGGGUUUAAAGGGAGCGCAGGCCGGGUAUUAAGCGUGUUGUGAAAUGUAGGCGCCCAACGUCUGCACCGCAGCGCGAACUGGUGCCCUUGAGUACGCACGACGUUGGCGGAAUUCGCCGUGUAGCGGUGAAAUGCUUAGAUAUGGCGAAGAACUCCGAUUGCGAAGGCAGCUGACGGGAGCGCUACUGACGCUCAUGCUCGAAAGCGCGGGUAUCGAACAGGAUUAGAUACCCUGGUAGUCCGCGCGGUAAACGAUGGAUGCCCGCUAUUUGCGCAUUAGCGCAAGUGGCCAAGUGAAAACGUUAAGCAUCCCACCUGGGGAGUACGCCGGCAACGGUGCAACUCAAAGGAAUUGACGGA
This 923-nucleotide ribosomal RNA is filed under the name uncultured Bacteroidota bacterium. RNAcentral describes it as "bacterial SSU rRNA". It matches the Rfam family "Bacterial small subunit ribosomal RNA", at positions 1 to 917 of the family's 1533-position model. The record is from RNAcentral. Lineage: Bacteria; Pseudomonadati; Bacteroidota.